This 2018-nucleotide unclassified non-coding RNA is filed under the name Hevea brasiliensis (rubber tree). The record is from RNAcentral. Lineage: Eukaryota; Viridiplantae; Streptophyta; Magnoliopsida; Malpighiales; Euphorbiaceae.
UCCUGAUGGAGGUGAAGAGGAGUCGAAGCGGGUGGGUUCAAGUCUUGGGCACUGGAUGAAAGGGCAAUUAUCGAGGACUCCGUCGGUUUCUAGCGUGGCGUAUAGGAGUUCUGAUCUGAGGUUACUUCUUGGGGUUAUGGGUGCACCCUUGGCUCCGUUGCAUGUUAGCACUAUGGACCCUUUGCCUCACCUUAGCAUUAAAGACACGCCCAUUGAAACUUCCUCUGCUCAGUACAUAUUGCAGCAGUACACAGCGGCCUCUGGUGGGCAGAAGCUGCAGAACUCUAUCAGAAACGCAUAUGCAAUGGGAAAGGUUAAAAUGAUAGCUUCGGAAUUCGAAACGCCCACAAGGGUGGUGAAGAACCGGAAUGGUUCUAAGGGUGCUGAGUCAGGUGGGUUUGUGCUCUGGCAGAUGAAUCCUGACAUGUGGUAUGUUGAGCUUGCUGUUGGUGGUAGUAAGGUUCAUGCCGGUUGCAAUGGCAAACUUGUUUGGAGGCACACUCCAUGGCUUGGUGCUCAUACUGCAAAAGGGCCUGUCAGACCUUUGCGUCGUGCACUUCAGGGUCUUGAUCCAAAAAUCACAGCUAGUAUGUUUGCUGAUGCAAGGUGCAUCGGAGAGAAGAAGAUCAAUGGUGAGGAUUGUUUUAUACUAAAGUUAUGCGCUGAUCCUCAAACGCUCAAGGCUAGGAGUGAAGGCCCUGCAGAGAUCAUAAGGCAUGUCCUGUUUGGUUACUUUAGCCAAAAGACUGGUCUCCUUGUUCACAUGGAGGAUUCACAUCUGACCCGCAUCCAAUCUAAUGGUGGUGAUGCAGUUUACUGGGAAACAACAAUCAAUUCAUUUCUUGAUGAUUACAGACCUGUUGAAGGGAUCAUGAUUGCCCACUCUGGUCGCUCUGUGGUAACUCUUUACAGAUUUGGUGAGGUUGCAAUGAGCCAUACCAAGACAAAGAUGGAGGAAGCUUGGACUAUUGAAGAGGUUGCGUUCAAUGUUCCAGGCCUUUCAGUAGACUGUUUCAUCCCCCCUUCAGACUUAAGAUCAGGUUCCAUCAGUGAAGCUUGUGAGCUAACUCAGGAUGAAAGAGGCAAGAGUGCAAUGGCAUUAGCAGCACAUCGGGCAAAAGUUGCAGCACUAGAGAAACAACAUGAUAACAGGACAAUAUGAUAAGGAAGAUGGAGGUCAAAGUAAGGGUAGGAUUGAAUUAGGAAAAUUGUUUAUACCGUCAGCUAGUUUUAAUUAGCUAACCCCCUUUAGAAGUUGCAAGUAGGAGAUGAAAUCCAUUGUUUGUUACUUACAUAUAUUUAUCUGUUAAUCUGUAAAUAGAGCAUAAUCAUUCUCAGGUCAAACUAGGCCUGAAUGAAUCUUUAUACUCUUAAUACAGAAUCCAACUAGGGAGUUGGAGUUUGGUUUUCCAGUUAGGGAUAGAGCAAAUGGAGGUCAAUUUUUAGUUUAUCUUCCAUGCCUGGGGGAAGGCGGUGACGCUAUUAACAAAGCAGAACCAUUAACAUUUUUAUAGUUCUUCAAAUGCUUUUGCUUGAAUGCAUACAGCAGUGGCAGCAAGAAGGGAAGCUGCUACUGGCCAACAUGAGUUUAACGCUGAUGUCUAGUUUGUUCAUUUUCCUGUGUGCGAGUUUCGUACUCUUUUUGUGUGGUUGCUUAAGUGAUGUGAAAGCUGUUUCUGGGUUUUGAAGGAAUUGGAAAUCUCUGAAUCUGAUGAACGAGGGGAUCACAGAUGAGAUGUUACUAGAUUCUUCGCUGCAAUGACAAAAUUAUGCAUCUCAGCUACGAUGUAUCUGUUGGGUCGGGGGGAAGCUAAUAUGUAUCUGGUUAUUUAGUAGCAUUUGAUCAGUGCUGCUGGACAAGGAAUGUAAACAGAAAAUUUGUUGAUCAACUAUUGAAUACUUAGGAUGAAUAUAGAUAUCAGAAAUCUUUCCCCUCUCUCUUUCUCUCUCUCUUUGUGCAUAUAUAAGAAAAAGACCCCCACACCAUACCAACCCUCAUAAGCACUAGCUGCUACAUA